AAGAUAGCUUUGACGAAGAGAGUAGUUUAUGAUUUCUUUUAAGCGAGUCGGGUAUGGUGUGAGCCGAUAUAUGAAUGACUGAAUGAAGAUCACUUCUGAGCUGGAUGCUGAAAGGCCAUGGCUGAUUAAGUUGACCGGGUGGUUCCGAUAUUGACCGAGAGUGUCUGGGUUUUUCCCAGGAACUAGGGUGGUAACGCGAUUUGACUCGUCCCUUGA
This 216-nucleotide non-coding RNA is filed under the name Peptostreptococcus stomatis. RNAcentral's name for it is "T-box sequence". It matches the Rfam family "T-box leader". From Rfam's summary of the family: Uncharged tRNA acts as the effector for transcription antitermination of genes in the T-box leader family. T-boxes are found upstream of many aminoacyl-tRNA synthetase genes and some amino acid biosynthetic genes usually in Gram-positive bacteria. Lineage: Bacteria; Bacillati; Bacillota; Clostridia; Peptostreptococcales; Peptostreptococcaceae. The record is from RNAcentral.